This 507-nucleotide ribosomal RNA is filed under the name uncultured bacterium. Its description in RNAcentral is "partial 16S ribosomal RNA". It matches the Rfam family "Bacterial small subunit ribosomal RNA", at positions 28 to 507 of the family's 1533-position model. The record is from RNAcentral.
GACGAACGCUGGCGGCGUGCUUAACACAUGCAAGUCGAACGGGCCUUGUCCCCUUUUUUUUGGGGGUGGGGUUAGUGGCGAACGGGUGAGUAACACGUGAGUAACCUGCCCCUCACUUCUGGAUAGCCGCUUGAAAGGGUGGCUAAUACGGGGUGUUCUGGCCUGCUCGCAUGGGUGGGUUUGGAAAGAUUCGACCGGUUUUGGUUGUUUUGGUGGGGGAUGGGCUCGCGGCCUAUCAGCUUGUUGGUGGGGUGAUGGCCUGCCAAGGCUUUGACGGGUAGCCGGCCUGAGAGGGUGGGCGGUCACACUGGGACUGAGACACGGCCCAGACUCCUACGGGAGGCAGCAGUGGGGAAUAUGGCACAAUGGGCGCAAGCCUGAUGCAGCGACGCCGCGUGAGGGAUGGAGGCCUUCGGGUUGUGAACCUCUUUCGCCAGUGAAGAAGGUCCUGCUCUUUGUGGUGGGGUUGACGGUAGCUGGGUUAAUGAAGCGCCGGCUAACUACGUG